AGAUGACUGACUUGUGACUCCAA
This 23-nucleotide non-coding RNA is filed under the name Cricetulus griseus (Chinese hamster). The record is from RNAcentral. Lineage: Eukaryota; Metazoa; Chordata; Mammalia; Rodentia; Cricetidae.